Molecule: ribosomal RNA, 599 nt
Filed under: bacterium WP2ISO30
Lineage: Bacteria
Description: bacterial SSU rRNA
Rfam family: Bacterial small subunit ribosomal RNA
Source: RNAcentral
GGCGGCAGGCCUAACACAUGCAAGUCGAGCGGAAACGACAACAUUGACCCUUCGGGUGAUUUGUUGGGCGUCGAGCGGCGGACGGGUGAGUAAUGCCUGGGAAAUUGCCCUGAUGUGGGGGAUAACCAUUGGAAACGAUGGCUAAUACCGCAUAAUAGCUUCGGCUCAAAGAGGGGGACCUUCGGGCCUCUCGCGUCAGGAUAUGCCCAGGUGGGAUUAGCUAGUUGGUGAGGUAAGGGCUCACCAAGGCAACGAUCCCUAGCUGGUCUGAGAGGAUGAUCAGCCACACUGGAACUGAGACACGGUCCAGACUCCUACGGGAGGCAGCAGUGGGGAAUAUUGCACAAUGGGCGCAAGCCUGAUGCAGCCAUGCCGCGUGUAUGAAGAAGGCCUUCGGGUUGUAAAGUACUUUCAGCAGUGAGGAAGGUUCAUGCGUUAAUAGCGUAUGGAUUUGACGUUAGCUGCAGAAGAAGCACCGGCUAACUCCGUGCCAGCAGCCGCGGUAAUACGGAGGGUGCGAGCGUUAAUCGGAAUUACUGGGCGUAAAACGCAUGCAGGUGGUUUGUUAAAUCAGAUGUGAAAGCCCGGGGCUCAACCUC